RNAcentral lists this ribosomal RNA (253 nucleotides) under uncultured bacterium. RNAcentral's name for it is "partial 16S ribosomal RNA". It matches the Rfam family "Bacterial small subunit ribosomal RNA", at positions 524 to 776 of the family's 1533-position model. The record is from RNAcentral.
UACAGAGGGUGCUAGCGUUGUUCGGAAUUAUUGGGCGUAAAGGGUGCGUAGGCGGCCUUCUAAGUCAAUUGCGAAAUUCUGGAGCUUAACUCCAGCGCUGUAAUUGAUACUAUAAGGCUAGAAUGUGGAAGGGGUGGAUGGAAUUUCCAGUGUAAGAGUGAAAUCUUUAGAUAUUGGUAGGAACACCAGAGGCGAAGGCGAUCCACUGGGACAUUAUUGACGCUGAGGCACGAAAGCGUGGGGAGCAAACAGG